Podarcis lilfordi (Lilford's wall lizard) is the source of this 107-nucleotide non-coding RNA. NCBI's taxonomy places the organism in Eukaryota, Metazoa, Chordata, Lepidosauria, Squamata, Lacertidae. The record is from the annotation of a GenBank genome assembly.
UCCAGCCAAACGUGGGCUUGGUUUUUUCUCUUUUAGCUUUCUGGUGCCCCGCAGAAUUUGGCACCUGCAGGCUAAAAGGGAAAAAACCGAGCCGACGCUUGGCGGAA